This 236-nucleotide ribosomal RNA is filed under the name uncultured bacterium. Its description in RNAcentral is "partial 16S ribosomal RNA". It matches the Rfam family "Bacterial small subunit ribosomal RNA", at positions 98 to 334 of the family's 1533-position model. The record is from RNAcentral.
CCGCACGGGCGAGUAACACGUAUCCAACCUGCCGUCUACUCUUGGACAGCCUUCUGAAAGGAAGAUUAAUACAAGAUGGCAUCAUGAGUCCGCAUGUUCACAUGAUUAAAGGUAUUCCGGUAGACGAUGGGGAUGCGUUCCAUUAGAUAGUAGGCGGGGUAACGGCCCACCUAGUCUUCGAUGGAUAGGGGUUCUGAGAGGAAGGUCCCCCACAUUGGAACUGAGACACGGUCCAA